This 484-nucleotide ribosomal RNA is filed under the name uncultured bacterium. RNAcentral describes it as "partial 16S ribosomal RNA". It matches the Rfam family "Bacterial small subunit ribosomal RNA", at positions 30 to 507 of the family's 1533-position model. The record is from RNAcentral.
AUUGAACGCUGGCGGCAGGCCUAACACAUGCAAGUCGAGCGGAUGAAGGGAGCUUGCUCCUGGAUUCAGCGGCGGACGGGUGAGUAAUGCCUAGGAAUCUGCCUGGUAGUGGGGGAUAACGUCCGGACACGGGCGCUAAUACCGCAUACGUCCUGAGGGCGAACGUGGGGGAUCUUCGGACCUCACGCUAUCAGAUGAGCCUAGGUCGGAUUAGCUAGUUGGUGGGGUAAAGGCCUACCAAGGCGACGAUCCGUAACUGGUCUGAGAGGAUGAUCAGUCACACUGGAACUGAGACACGGUCCAGACUCCUACGGGAGGCAGCAGUGGGGAAUAUUGGACAAUGGGCGAAAGCCUGAUCCAGCCAUGCCGCGUGUGUGAAGAAGGUCUUCGGAUUGUAAAGCACUUUAAGUUGGGAGGAAGGGCAGUAAGUUAAUACCUUGCUGUUUUGACGUUACCAACAGAAUAAGCACCGGCUAACUUCGUG